Malus domestica (apple) is the source of this 1696-nucleotide non-coding RNA. The record is from RefSeq and is a predicted model, not a curated record. NCBI's taxonomy places the organism in Eukaryota, Viridiplantae, Streptophyta, Magnoliopsida, Rosales, Rosaceae.
UUUUUGUCUGAGCUUCGGAAUCGUUGAACAAGAUGAUUCAUACUUGGAUAGCUACAUCAGCACAAUUGGAGUUGAAUUUAUGUUAUGCCUGGUAGGCAAAUUUCAAACGCUGAGUCCAAAGUAUAAGAAAUGAUGAGCUGUCAAGGUUCUUAUUUCUUCACUUAUCUGACUUCUUGCAUUUGGCUUAACACCUAAACAUGUCUUAUCUCAUCUACGUGUAGAUUACAUUUUGUUUGUGCUUAAUGGAAUGUUGAAAAAUGCUCAAGUGCAUGGUAAGUUCUUAUGAAUUUACUCUUUAACAGUCAGGUCAUUUGCAACCAUUUAUUUAAACGUUUGAUUGUGUAUUUAUUUAAACGUUACAAUUAGUGAUAUACAUGUAAACGUUACAUUUUGUUUGGGCUGGAUUAGUUACAGACAGAGAAGGGGGGAAGGUGUGGAAUGUCAGGGAGAGGACGGGAGAUGGAGGUCUACAUCUCAGAACCCAGCUCGAGUCCUCAGUUUCAGCAGCAGCGGCCACCACUCUUCCCCAAAGAAACAUGGACUUGCUUCGUUCUCUCUGCAGCGCUGCCCAUUUUCCACCAAAAUCACAUCUUAAACUCUUCCAAUUUCGAACACGAGAUGCCCGGAGAAGGAUUUGCGUCUAUUUUGAAGGCAUCUUCGCUUCUGUGAAGCUGAGGAGCAGAUUCGUGAGAUUGAGUCCAAACGUCUCUAGAAGGAGAUGUAUCUACCUAAUGAAUUGCUUAAACAUGAUUUGGAUGGUGAACCUUCUGUUGAUAUACCAAACUGCCAAGUUUUAGUAUUUGUUGAUAUAAGAGAUGAAAAGCUUGGAGGACGACUCUAUAACGAAUUUUGGUACCGUCUUAAUAAAAAACAGGUCUUUUUGCUGUGCUGGAAGAGGACUUUGAUUCUAAGAGACCAAUAAAGAUAGAGGAUCCUGAGGGCGUGCUAAAGGAGGUUUAUGGUACUCUACGUAAGAGUGAAAAAUAUGAGUUUGCUGAUGAUAUUCAUAAGAGGAUGAGAAUUAUAAUUGUUGGUGGGGAUGAUGUGGUUAACUGAGUUCUUGGAGUUAUUUGUGAUCUGAAUUUACCAGAGUCACCCUCCAUUGUGCCGAUGUCACAUGGGACUGAAAAUAACAUCCCACUUUCGUUUGGAUGGGUAGGACAUCUUUUAGCUUAUGAAAGCAUCUUUGAAGGGAUCAAUUAUUUUUCUUCUUUUGUUGUUGAUUGAGGUGGGUUAUAGGAAUAAGGUGACGUUUUAGAGUUGAAAUUGUUAGUGUUUUUCGUGAUGCUCUUUCCUUUUCUUCUCAGUGAAAAAACAUACUAAAGUAACAACGCAAUGGUGGUGGGAAUAAGCGUUCUCAGGUAUCUAUGGAUGUGUGAUAUGAAUUAGGUGGAUGAUGUUGAAACAUCAGUCAAUAAAAAACAAAUAGGAUCUCAGAUAUUAUUCAUUAAUCCAUACAUUAGUGCUUGAAAGAUUAGUUGUUGAAACAAGAACAACACAUGUUUAUGGCUUUGUUGUUUAGUUGUUAAAACACGUGACUGGCCUGCAGGACAUAUAUUUUGCCAUCUUAACUUGAAGGGCAAUAUAAAUGUUAAAUGCAUGUUGCUUAUGUUUCUUAGGAAACAGAGCAUUAUUUGCAACUGUAUCUUUUGUAAUCAGCUCGGUUGAAUGUAUAUAAAAACCGAACUGCUUAUCU